GACGAACGCUGGCGGCGUGCUUAACACAUGCAAGUCGAACGGGGCAUUCUCUUCGGGGGGUGUCUAGUGGCGAACGGGUGAGUAACACGUGGGCAACCUGCCCCUCGGCUCUGGGAUAACUCCAAGAAAUUGGGGCGUAAUACCGGAUAUGACCGCUGAUCGCAUGGUCUGGUGGUGGAAAGAUUUAUCGGCUGGGGAGUGGGCCCGCGGCCUAUCAGCUUGUUGGUGGGGUAGUGGCCUACCAAGGCGACGACGGGUAGCCGGCCUGAGAGGGUGACCGGCCACACUGGGACUGAGACACGGCCCAGACUCCUACGGGAGGCAGCAGUGGGGAAUAUUGCGCAAUGGGCGAAAGCCUGACGCAGCGACGCCGCGU
This 376-nucleotide ribosomal RNA is filed under the name uncultured bacterium. RNAcentral's name for it is "bacterial SSU rRNA". It matches the Rfam family "Bacterial small subunit ribosomal RNA", at positions 28 to 402 of the family's 1533-position model. The record is from RNAcentral.